CCUACGGGCGGCAGCAGUGGGGGAUAUUGCACAAUGGGGGAAACCCUGAUGCAGCGACGCCGCGUGUGGGAUGACGGUCCUCUGGAUUGUAAACCACUGUCCCCCGGGACGAAGAUGACGGUACCUGGGGCGGACGCUCCGGCUAACUACGUGCCAGCAGCCGCGGUCAUACGUAGGGAGCGAGCGUUGUCCGGAAUUACUGGGUGUAAAGGGAGCGUAGGCGGGACUGCAAGUUGGGUGUCAAAUCUACCGGCUCAACCGGUAGCCGCACUCAAAACUGCAGUUCUUGAGUGAAGUAGAGGCAGGCGGAAGUCGUAGUGUAGCGGUGAAAUGCGUAGAUAGUAGGAGGAACACCAGUGGCGAAGGCGGCCUGCUGGGCUUUUACUGACGCUGAGGCUCGAAAGUGUGGGGAUCAAACAGGAUUAGAGACCCCAGUAGUC
Molecule: ribosomal RNA, 440 nt
Filed under: uncultured bacterium
Lineage: Bacteria
Description: partial 16S ribosomal RNA
Rfam family: Bacterial small subunit ribosomal RNA
Source: RNAcentral